GUGGGGAAUAUUGCACAAUGGGCGCAAGCCUGAUGCAGCAACGCCGCGUGAAUGAAGAAGGUCUUCGGAUCGUAAAGUUCUUUUCUUAGGGAAGAAACCAUGACGGUACCUAAGGAAUAAGCACCGGCUAACUACGUGCCAGCAGCCGCGGUAAUACGUAGGGUGCAAGCGUUAUCCGGAAUCACUGGGCGUAAAGGGUGCGUAGGCGGUCUGACAAGUCAGGAGUGAAAGGCAGUGGCUCAACCAUUGUAAGCUUUUGAAACUGUCGGACUUGAAUGCAGGAGGGGCAAGUGGAAUUCCUAGUGUAGCGGUGAAAUGCGUAGAUAUUAGGAGGAACACCAGUGGCGAAGGCGACUUGCUGGACUGUAAUUGACGCUGAGGCACGAAAGCGUGGGGAGCAAACAGGAUUAGAUACCCUUGUAGUCC
This 426-nucleotide ribosomal RNA is filed under the name uncultured bacterium. Its description in RNAcentral is "bacterial SSU rRNA". It matches the Rfam family "Bacterial small subunit ribosomal RNA", at positions 354 to 796 of the family's 1533-position model. The record is from RNAcentral.